CACUCCUGCGGGAGGCAGCAGUGGGGAAUAUUGCACAAUGGGCGCAAGCCUGAUGCAGCCAUGCCGCGUGUAUGAAGAAGGCCUUCGGGUUGUAAAGUACUUUCAGCGGGGAGGAAGGCGAUAAGGUUAAUAACCUUGUUGAUUGACGUUACCCGCAGAAGAAGCACCGGCUAACUCCGUGCCAGCAGCCGCGGUAAUACGGAGGGUGCAAGCGUUAAUCGGAAUUACUGGGCGUAAAGCGCACGCAGGCGGUCUGUCAAGUCGGAUGUGAAAUCCCCGGGCUCAACCUGGGAACUGCAUUCGAAACUGGCAGGCUAGAGUCUUGUAGAGGGGGGUAGAAUUCCAGGUGUAGCGGUGAAAUGCGUAGAGAUCUGGAGGAAUACCGGUGGCGAAGGCGGCCCCCUGGACAAAGACUGACGCUCAGGUGCGAAAGCGUGGGGAGCAAACAGGAUUAGAAACCCUGGUAGUCCCAUGAU
This 476-nucleotide ribosomal RNA is filed under the name uncultured organism. Its description in RNAcentral is "partial 16S ribosomal RNA". It matches the Rfam family "Bacterial small subunit ribosomal RNA", at positions 334 to 801 of the family's 1533-position model. The record is from RNAcentral.